RNAcentral lists this ribosomal RNA (141 nucleotides) under uncultured bacterium. RNAcentral's name for it is "partial 16S ribosomal RNA". It matches the Rfam family "Bacterial small subunit ribosomal RNA", at positions 355 to 509 of the family's 1533-position model. The record is from RNAcentral.
UGGGGAAUCUUGCGCAAUGGGCGAAAGCCUGACGCAGCGACGCCGCGUGCGGGAUGACGGCCUGGUUGUAACCGCUUUCAGCAGGGACGGAGGCCGCAAGGUGACGGUACCUGCAGAAGAAGCCCCGGCUAACUACGUGCC